GUAGCGGGCCCGGGCGAGCUGGGUGGGAGAACAAGCUGAAACUUUCUCUGAAUUCAGUUAUUCUUCCCUUACAACACCCCUUUAGGACCCGAAAGCCUUCAUCACACACGCGGCGUCGCUCCGUCACACUUUCGUGCAUUGCGGAAAAUUCCCUACUGCUGCCUCCCGUAGGAGUAGGGG
This 180-nucleotide ribosomal RNA is filed under the name uncultured Oenococcus sp. Its description in RNAcentral is "partial 16S ribosomal RNA". Lineage: Bacteria; Bacillati; Bacillota; Bacilli; Lactobacillales; Lactobacillaceae. The record is from RNAcentral.